CAGAGCUGUCUCAAUCAAUGGUAGAAGACACCUGCUUCAACAGCUGAAGACAGUUGAUCACCUACGCCAUAAAUAAAGGGCUUCUUUCGAAGGAAAUCCCUGCUCCAGGAGAUGUCAGUGCCUUCAGCAGGAAUGAGGGAAGGACAACUGGAAGGCUUUCCUUUGCCUCCAAAGGCCAGAUGCUGUAUGAUACGUUCUUAAAUCACUUCAGAGAAUGCAGUUGUCUCACAGAGGUCUGUCCCUCCUGCCUUUUAAUCAUCCCUAAUCCUCUCUGAACCUCCUCCAGUAUGUCUACAUUCUUUACUGAUAAAAGUCUGAAAUCUUCCACCUCUAAUUCUGAAAAGAGAGGAGCAAAAGUAAACUGCCUUGAGUUGCUGCUUGUACCUCAGUUCCAUAGGAUGGCAUCUGCCUCUCAGGACACACACAGACCCCCCAGAGUGCUCUGCAGUAUUUCCUAAUGCCUGGCUUGUCCCGCUCGCUCCUUUCUAACAUCGCACUGGUCCUGUGCUGUGCAACUGGCCACUCCGACAGCUUUCAUCAUGCCAGAGUUUAUGGCAACUGUAAAUCUAUUAAGCCACAAUUUGCACUUAAUAAAAUGAAACAGCAAGCAGUUAAACGAAAGCUCGAUCCUAAACGGGAGAACGUUUUUCAGGAAAAGUCAUUGGGGCUGCCACUGCUACUGCUGCCUGCCUGCCUGCCUUUGAGAAAUUCAAUCGUGCUGAUUGAGGAAACCUGGGGAGAGCUGGCUACUCCUUGCUUUGGUUCAUAAUGGCCCCAUAGACCUUUUAAUCAUCUGUGGAUGACACAAAGGCCACGCUGUGAACACCGGAUGUGGAGGAAUGCACUUAUCAGAUGCUUCCUGCCCAUAAGUGGGCACGGGUUCAGGCUCAUCCCCAUGUCCCUGUGCUUCAGAGUGUCCCCGCUGUCAGAGUAGAGAGCAGAGCAGAUGACUGCUGUUGCUCCUCCUUUGCCUUUGUUUUCUUACAUCGGAGCAUGCACAAGUAGUGCUUUGGGAGCUGAGCUCGGAGAGGGGAGGAAAGGCUUUGUGCUGCAGGCUGCUGACAGGCCUGGAGGCACCCACCCUGAGAAGCACUGGGUGCAGCCUUAGCAGGAGGAGAGGGGCACUGGGAGACAAAGCAGAGACUUACUGGCUCCUGUGAAAUAGAUUUCUCUGUCGAUGUUAAAAUGACUUCCUCCAUGUCCACAGUUUUGCCUCUGCUCAAUACUGUGGCAUUUCUGGGUGACCAAGUGGCUGACCCUGGUUUGUAGUUGAAUAGUCUGGUCAGAAACCAUAUGCCCGGUUUCAUUAACUAGAGAAAAAAAGGCUCAGCCAGGGGAGGCAAUGAGUGCUUGAAAAUCUGAUCCAUCGUACUAAUUGGUUUGGAAUAUUAGCCUUUAGUUUAGAUUGGAAAUCCAUUUCCUCCUGAAUGCAGGCAAUUGGCUGACAGCUCGGGCCAUACAUGUAACCAUGCAAAGCUUGACACGCCAUCCUCAACCCCGAGCCCAUGUAUGCUGGCAAACACAUUCAAAAUAGCUUCAAGAGUUCGUAACUUCUGAGAGGACGCCUCUAGACACAGAUCUGUGCCCAUUCUUAUGAGCAUUCCUCCUGACAAAGUUAUAGGAUUUGUAAUUCAAAAAAGCAACUCGCUGCUGACUAAUGCGUGCCAAUUAAGUUCAGCCCAUUGAAUCAACAGUUUCCUGUUACCUGUUCCUUCAGGUAGAACAGCGGCUGAUACCCCUGCCCUUUCCCAGGCUUCUGUGCAGGGACCUUUCCUGCCCGAAAACAGUGGGGACACCUGUUUUCUGAGCAGGGAAGGCCAGCACCUGAAAUCCUAGGAAUGGUCCCGCUAUUGAAAACAGGGGGCUUGAUAAGGCAGCCACUGUGAUAGGCAGCGGAAAUUUGAUGAUGAAAGGAGAUGCCUAAUAGAUUAAUCUGGUGUGAUUUGCCAAAACACAGGGUUUUCUGGAAGAUUAUCCACACUCGCAAUAGGAAGCCCUUUGUUUUGUGAAAGUCCCCACUUAUCAUGGUAUUCUUUAUCUCAACAAGAAACAUAAUGGUUUACUUGUUUACAUGCAUGGCAGAUAUAUUCAGAGCCAGGCUUAGGAACUGUGAACUCCUUUUCAUUUGAAACAUUUCCAGCAGGCAGGUUAUUAGCUGAGGGGGAACAAGCAGUUGGACACAUAAAAUUUAAAUCUGCCUUGCUUAGAUUGGCAAAAAUGAAUGUUAUUUCAUCCACCGGGAAAAUGUUUUACUUCCUGCUCAAAUACUUUUGGAAGAAAAUCACAAGCUCAUUUGUAGCCAUCAUAUAUGUAUGUAUAUAUUUUUUUAGAGUUAAGUGUUAUGUCUACAGAAACGUAUUUGUUAC
Long non-coding RNA from Lagopus muta (rock ptarmigan), 2366 nucleotides. RefSeq lists it as uncharacterized. The transcript is spliced from 4 exons. The record is from RefSeq and is a predicted model, not a curated record. NCBI's taxonomy places the organism in Eukaryota, Metazoa, Chordata, Aves, Galliformes, Phasianidae.